AUUGAACGCUGGCGGCAUGCUUUACACAUGCAAGUCGAGCGGCAGCGCGGGGGCGAACCCUCGGCGGCGAGCGGCGAACGGGUGGGUAAGUAGAUAGGAACGUAUCCGGGAGGUGGGGAGUAACUAGCCGAAGGUUAGCUAUACCGCAUAUUCUCUUAGGAGGAAAGGCGGGGACGUCGCAAGAGCCUCGCGCUCGCGGAGUGGCCUAUCUCCGA
RNAcentral lists this ribosomal RNA (215 nucleotides) under uncultured bacterium. Its description in RNAcentral is "partial 16S ribosomal RNA". It matches the Rfam family "Bacterial small subunit ribosomal RNA", at positions 30 to 240 of the family's 1533-position model. The record is from RNAcentral.